Molecule: ribosomal RNA, 484 nt
Filed under: uncultured bacterium
Lineage: Bacteria
Description: partial 16S ribosomal RNA
Rfam family: Bacterial small subunit ribosomal RNA
Source: RNAcentral
AUUGAACGCUGGCGGCAGGCCUAACACAUGCAAGUCGAGCGGAAGAACGGAGCUUGCUUCUGGUUUCAGCGGCGGACUGGUGAGUAAUGCCUAGGAAUCUCCCUGUCUGUGGUUGAGAACGUCCGGAGGCAGGCGCUCAUACCCCAAACCUCCAGAGGGCGAAAGUGGGAGAUCUUCGGAUCUUCCGCUCUCACAUGAGUGUAGGUCGGAUUAGCUAGUUGGUGGGGUAAAGGCCUACCAAGGCGACGAUCCGUCACUGGUCUGAGAGGAUGAUCAGUCACACUGGAACUGAGACACGGUCCAGACUCCUAAGGGAGGAAGCAGUGGGGAAUAUUGGACAAUGGGCGAAAGCCUGAUCCAGCCAUGCCGCGUGUGUGAAGAAGGUCUUCGGAUUGUAAAGCACUUUAAGUUGGGAGGAAGGGCAGUAAGUUAAUACCUUGCUGUUUUGACGUUACCAACAGAAUAAGCACCGGCUAACUUCGUG